AUUGAACGCUGGCGGCAGGCCUAACACAUGCAAGUCGAACGAGUGGCGGACGGGUGAGUAAUGUCUGGGAAACUGCCUGAUGGAGGGGGAUAACUACUGGAAACGGUAGCUAAUACCGCAUACCAUCAGAUGUGCCCAGAUGGGCUUAGCUUGUUGGUGGGGUAACGGCUCACCAAGGCGACGAUCCCUAGCUGGUCUGAGAGGAUGACCAGCCACAUGGGAACGGAGACACGGUCCAGACUCCUACGGGAGGAAGCAGUGGGGAAUAUUGCACAAUGGGCGCAAUCCUGAUGCAGCAAUGCCGCGUGUAUGAAGAAGGUCUUCGGGUUGUAAAGUACUUUCAGCGGGGAGGCGGUACCCACAGAGGAAGCCCCGGCUAACUACGUGCCAGCAGCCGCGGUAAUUC
This 406-nucleotide ribosomal RNA is filed under the name uncultured bacterium. Its description in RNAcentral is "partial 16S ribosomal RNA". It matches the Rfam family "Bacterial small subunit ribosomal RNA", at positions 30 to 526 of the family's 1533-position model. The record is from RNAcentral.